AAUGAUUUUCCUUCAGGUUGUGCAAGCAGGAAAGUUUAAAAUCACAUAAGAAUGACUUGAGGGAGAAAAACACCCCUUUCUGCUCCCGAUAAACACAAUCAGCUUUGCUGGUCUGGGUUUUUUAAAUGAUCUGCAUUUACAGAAGUAUCCAUGACCCAGAGAGAGUAUCAGUGUCAAGAAUCUGCCAGUGGGAAAGUGAUUUGAAGCAGCUCUGGAGUUCAAAUGGCCACGGGUGCGAGUGCCUGCUCUGGUGUGCUUUGCCUCUGGAAAGAGGCCAAGUCUUUGAGAAUCUUUGCUGCAUCAGCCAUGCUACAUCCUGAGGACUUGGAGCUUUUCCCAGGUGAGGCCAUUAAUGCCUCCACCCAUAGGCUUAACCCUGCCCUGUUUCUGAGCCAACUCUAAAGUGAGUAACAUUGAAAGCCAUAUGAUGAGAGUAGUGUCACGAGAUAGAAGAAAAUGGGAUCUCUAAGUCACUGGAUGUAGAAGGAUUCCCACUGACUUGACUUUGGUGAGUUCCCCGAGCCAAGCACUCCGCAGCUCCAUCGCAGCGUGGGCCUCUUGGAAAUUCGGUGCUAGUUCUCAAGGCCUCCUACCUGCUGAGCCUUAGUCUUCAUUCCUGAAAUAAGAGCUGUCCUGCAAACAGCGUUUGGCGCUCACUUCCUGGCCUCCGGCUGGUGGAGCAAGGACGUUUCCAGCACAUAAGAUUCCCCACUCUGUUAAAAAAAAAAAAAAUGUGUUUAUACUUGGUCCCCUCUGAAGGCGGACGACGCCCAUACUUUUGUCCCAGCCCAAUUUGUUGGCUGGGUUUUUUCUCAUCCUUUAAAUCCCGAGAAGCAAGGAACCUGCCCUCUGGCGCCAUCUACCGGCACUGUUUUUCGAGUCCAAGGAGCCCCCUGCGGAGUUGGGAUGUGUUUAGUAAUUGAUUGGAUGAAUUCUGCCACUUCGUUAGUAGAUUCUUUUUUUCUUCACGGACUAGAAGGUGACCAAUUAGUAAAGAGAUUAUAUAGCAAAUAUAUUAUCUUACUUUAAAGAGACCAGAGUCUCCUAUCUCUCGCUUUCCCCACCCCAUCAGUUGUGGCAUUCCUUCAUCUUUAAUUUCUUCCUUCGAAAAAUAUUUAUUCUGUUAUUGUAUAGAGAUCAGGGCAUGGGGCACACAGCUGCACACCUGAGCAAACAGAGGGGCUGACUGAUUUGCUGUUGUAAUGAAAAACAUUAGUUUUGGGUUCAUUUCUGUGAUUCCACAAUGGGCACCAAAUCCCACUUAAGACCCACCGAAGAAGUCUUCAAAGGGACACGGUUUCAGGUCUGUGCCUGGUGAGCGCGCUGCCUCUUCGAAUCUUUGCACAGAAAUAACCUACGGUUGGAGACUCAGACCUGUCAGAUCAAAACCAGGCCUGGCCUCCAGACCUUGAAACAAGUCAAAACAGUGAACCUUACUCAUCCAUUUUCAAAAUAUGGCCUGUUUUCUUUACAAAAUGCAGCAAAGCCUCUCAGAUGGGCGCUGGCUGCAAUAUUUGAUAUAUUAGGGAGAAUCCUGACUCCUUCCAGGUUUCUGCCCAUCUGUUUUACAUCCAAAUGGCUUGGCAGAGGAUGGUUUUUAGUUAUGUAUUUUUUUCAUUUCAAAUGGAAUUUAAAACAGCAGGGGCAGAAAGCCCAGAUAUGGAUGAGAGAGAAAAUAAAAAGGACCCUGGAAUUCCCCAUUCACCUUCUACAUGAAGGAAAAAAUAUCGGCAUUUGUUGUAAACCUACUAUGUGUCAAGGUAUCACUAGGGAGUGUGAUGUUGCUGAGCCAUUGGAAUUUUAUAAAAUUUUGAAUGUUUUUCAUUUUCUUCUUCAGAGGUGGUUUGAUUUCAUGAUCAAGAGCUUGAACUUAAAGUCAAAUCCUGCUCCUGCCUCCUGCAGUCGUGGGGCCUUAGCUAUUCUCUGUAAUGACUCUAGGUCUCAGUUUCCUUGCCUGAGAACAGGACUGUGAUAAUUACCUUGGCGGGCUAUUGUCAGUUUUAAAUAAGGUAGUGCGGAGGCAACUACCACAGGAAUGGUUCUGCCUUAAGAAUGAA
RNAcentral lists this long non-coding RNA (2057 nucleotides) under Pongo abelii (Sumatran orangutan). RNAcentral describes it as "lincRNA". Lineage: Eukaryota; Metazoa; Chordata; Mammalia; Primates; Hominidae. The record is from RNAcentral.